This 468-nucleotide ribosomal RNA is filed under the name uncultured bacterium. RNAcentral's name for it is "partial 16S ribosomal RNA". It matches the Rfam family "Bacterial small subunit ribosomal RNA", at positions 28 to 507 of the family's 1533-position model. The record is from RNAcentral.
GACGAACGCUGGCGGCGUGCUUAACACAUGCAAGUCGAACGGAAAGGCCCUGCUUUUGUGGGGUGCUCGAGUGCCGAACGGGUGAGUAACACGUGUGUAACCUGCCCUUGACUUUGGGAUAACUUCAGGAAACUGGGGCUAAUACCGGAUAGGAGCUCCUGCUGCAUGGUGUGGGUUGGAAAGUUUCGGCGGUUGUGGAUGGACUGGCGGCUUAUCAGCUUGUUGGUGGGGUAGUGGCUUACCAAGGCUUUGACGGGUAGGCGGCCUGGGAGGGUGACCGGCGACAAUGGGACUGAGAUACGGCCCAGACUCCUACGGGAGGCAGAAGGGGGGAAUAUGGCGCAAUGGGCGGAAGCGUGAUGCAGCAACGCCGCGUGCGGGAUGACGGCCUUCGGGUUGUAAACCGCUUUCGCAUGAGACGAAGCGUUAGUGACGGUAAUGGGUAAAGAAGCACCGGCUAACUACGUG